This 475-nucleotide ribosomal RNA is filed under the name uncultured bacterium. RNAcentral describes it as "bacterial SSU rRNA". It matches the Rfam family "Bacterial small subunit ribosomal RNA", at positions 50 to 518 of the family's 1533-position model. The record is from RNAcentral.
AACACAUGCAAGUCGAGGGCGAACGCGAGUAGCGAAUACUUGGCGGCGACCGGCGGCAAGGGUGCGUAACGCGUGAGCAACAUGCCCGUAUCAGGGGGAUAAUCCAGGGAAACUUGGUCUAAUACCCCAUAGUAAUUUUGUAAGGCAUCUUAUAAGAUUUAAAGCUUUGGUGGAUACGGAUUGGCUCGCGUGACAUUAGCUGGAUGGUAAGGUAACGGCUUACCAUGGCUAUGAUGUCUAGGGGUUCUGAGAGGAAGGUCCCCCACACUGGAACUGAGACACGGUCCAGACUCCUACGGGAGGCAGCAGUGAGGAAUAUUGGACAAUGGAUGGAAAUCUGAUCCAGCCAUGCCGCGUGAAGGAAGAAGGUCCUAUGGAUUGUAAACUUCUUUUGUAUGGGAGCAAUAAGGCCUACGUGUAGGUUGAUGAGAGUACCAUACGAAUAAGCACCGGCUAACUCCGUGCCAGCCGCCGC